GAGCCACCUCUGAGCUCUCCCUGCUGGGCACUGUGGCUGGAUGGCAGUGACCUCCCCUUGCCCUGGGAUAGCUCUCAAGGUUAUUCCUUGAGGCAGAGACCUUUCUACAAACAACCAUUUGGAUGAGACCAAUUUGAAUUCUCUAAACUAGAACUGGACUGCACAGCAGUGACUCUCCCCUGGGGCUGGGAAUCCUUUCAAGGACUGAGAUUCUUUACAAGAGACUAAGAAAUCCUUCCUUACCCAAGGCAGAGAAAACCCUUUCUUAUGGAUCCUUGGUGUUCUAAGAGCUGAGACUUGUUUUGCCUGUGAACACAGUCCUUGAUGGCUUGCCUUACUACUCAUCUGUUUCUGAGAGAAGAGAAUCGGGAAACUCUAAGAAUAGAAGAGUUCUUGGAGAAUUUAGACAGUAAGAAAGAAGGAGAUCCUGAGCUGAAGUGCUACUGAAGGGGAGUGCAAGUUUGUGAAAUGAGGAGUAAGGAUAAGGGAGAAGCAAAGACAAGAUUUCCCACACAGGCUGAAGCCAGACUCAAAAUGUGAAUUUGCAGCUUCUGUACAGCAGCAUCAUUUAAUCCACUGACAGGCAGUUUAAUUGGCAGCUACAAAACUUUAAUUUACUAAGUCAGAAACCCUUUCUGAAUGUGUAACUCACAAGCUAUUGUUAUCACAGUGGCAAUUUGACAUGUGGCCUAGGUAAAUAAAGGAAUGAAUUAGCAUUCUCUUGAAAAAAAUCUGUUUAUCAAAGACUUAACUAUGAAGGACAUGCUCAGGAAAGGACUCCACAAGAAUAAAAAAUAAAACCAACAUAGUUUCAUAACUCAUAAAACUUAGGAGUGAUGUCCCUCAUUAUUUCUAUGAAAAUGCCUUUAAAAAGCAGUAAAAGAGCGCCUUAAGACUACAGUUUAAAAAACAAGGAUGGAUUUGAUUCCUUCAGUUAAACUGACACCAAAUGCUAGAAGAGUAGAUGACAUAUUUUUAUUUAAAAAAUCAUGAAUACUUGUCAGACUGAAAUUUAUUCCCAGGGGUUAUGGAAGGUGAGAAACCCACCUAAGGCAACACCAUCAGAUAUGAAAAUGGGAGGUUCCUCCUGGAGCUGGCUGGCGUUGGCUCUGUCAGACAUGGGGGAAGCUCCUGGCAGCUUCUCACAGAAGAUGGAGUGACUGAUUUCUCCUUGUCUUUAUUUUGACCCACGAGCCAUUACAAUACCCUGAACCAUUAUAAUACCCUUGAACUGAGCCAUUAUAAUACCCACUGAACUUUCCCUGCUGAGGGGACUGGCAGAGCAGCUUUGCAGGGCACCUGGGAUCCAGACAGGGUCAGCCUACAGGAAUACAUUAGGAUGGCUAGGAUUUCCAAAGAAAUCUAAAGGCAGAAAUAAAUUUAUGUAAACUUUUUGACAAAUUGUGUCAAAAAUAAUCAGUUCAUCUGUAAAAAGCAAAUGAAAUCGUGUUUGUUCAAUAUACUAUUUACUGCAAUGUAUUUAUACAUUUGAAUGAGAUAUACAGAGGAAUUUCAAGCUGCACUGAGUCUUGUGUUACUUUAGAAAGGAGUAAUUUACAAUCAGAAGUUUACAAAUGGAAAAUACAAAGAUUUGACUGGGAGCUUUUUUGUUCACCCUUACUUUUUUAACUUAAUAAAAACUCAAUGGAAUAAAAUUGUGGAUGUUGAGCCAUUUAACUCUGAAACCUUUCCAUCCUAGUAGGUUAGCUGUUCUCUGUUCAUUCUGAAUCAAUAAUGUCAGUCCUUACUUUUAGUAUUAUGUAGAUGAAACUUUGUUUCUGUUAUAUACAUAGCCAUACGAAUUCUGUUAGUCCAUUUGUUUUACUCAUUCUCUUUACGUAUUAAUAUAAUUUAGUCACAUUAAUUUUGUUAUGCUUAUUUAAAUUUAACUAUUAAAAAAAAAAACAACCUCUCUUUAGGAAGAUUUUUUUUCUUUUCUUUCUAUCAUUAGAACUCUCUGCAGAUCCUGUUAUGUCUUGUCUUUCCUACCCUGAUAGUCUUUGCACAACCUCCAUGGUCUUCCCUCAGUCUCAGGAAAAAAACAAAACUCUUACCCAACCAAACCCAAGGCAGAAGGCACUGCUCAGCCAGUCUACUCAGUGAGUAACUGCACUGUACAGUAAGGUUCCUCUGAACAAACAA
This is a long non-coding RNA of Prinia subflava (tawny-flanked prinia), 2142 nucleotides long. RefSeq lists it as uncharacterized. Lineage: Eukaryota; Metazoa; Chordata; Aves; Passeriformes; Cisticolidae. The record is from RefSeq and is a predicted model, not a curated record. The transcript is spliced from 3 exons.